CCCCGAUCUCUCUUCUUCCCCUUCCUCUUCCUCUUUCUCUCCUCCCCUUUCUUUUUCCCGAUUUCCUAUGUUUUCCGUUCCUUGCAGCUCUAGGUGUUUAUUAUUGCUUUCUUUUCACGUUUAGGCUUUUAGUUUCUUGCUCAGUUUCUUGUCCAGAGAUUUUGAUUGAACUCUGUUUAUCUAUAUCUUUUGUCGUUGUGGCCCAUGGAUUCAAUUGCCUCCCCCUCAAAGUCAUACACACCCAUCGGGCGAUCUGGGCCUCUGGCUUGCUAUUGCGAGACAAUGAAAUUUAGAUGGAGGAGGGAGGCGAGUUCCACUGCUGGGGUGAACUAAUACCCGAUGCUCUCGGGCUAAUCUUCAAAAAUCUUUCUCUUCAGGAAAUUCUUACUGUGAUUCCGAGGGUCUGCAAAUCUUGGAAUAGAGCAAUAAUGGGUCCCUAGUGCUGGCAAGAGAUUGACAUUAAGGAGUGGAGCCUCCAGUGCCAGCUUGAGCAGGUAGAUCGAAUGCUUAAAAUGCUCAUCACAAGAAGUUGUGGUUCCCUACGCAAACUUUGUGUGUCUGGCCUUCCCAAUGAGCCUCUUCUCUCCUUCAUUGCAGACCAUUCUACAUCCCUUCAGACUUUGCAGUUGUCGAUGAGUGAAAUAAGUGAUUCAAUGGCGGAACAGGUAGCAGGGAGGUUGUCUACCAUCUCUUUCUUGGACCUAAGCUACUGUAAGAAUAUUGGUGCCUGUGCAUUAGAGGCGAUAGGAAAGCACCGUAAAUUGCUAGUUGGGGAAGAAGAGAGAUCCGGGGAGAGAGAGAGAAAAGGAGGACUUCGGAAGUCCGUUGUUAUAGCUACCGCCACUACUAUUCGUGUAUUUUUCACUGGGUCUUUGUCUCAUAGUCAGUACAGGGGGGUCUUUGUCACAA
Non-coding RNA from Nelumbo nucifera (sacred lotus), 909 nucleotides. Lineage: Eukaryota; Viridiplantae; Streptophyta; Magnoliopsida; Proteales; Nelumbonaceae. The record is from RefSeq and is a predicted model, not a curated record.